This 253-nucleotide ribosomal RNA is filed under the name uncultured bacterium. RNAcentral describes it as "partial 16S ribosomal RNA". It matches the Rfam family "Bacterial small subunit ribosomal RNA", at positions 524 to 776 of the family's 1533-position model. The record is from RNAcentral.
UACGUAGGGUGCAAGCGUUGUCCGGAAUCACUGGGCGUAAAGGGUGCGUAGGCGGGUCUUUAAGUCAGGGGUGAAAUCCUGGAGCUCAACUCCAGAACUGCCUUUGAUACUGAAGAUCUUGAGUUCGGGAGAGGUGAGUGGAACUGCGAGUGUAGAGGUGAAAUUCGUAGAUAUUCGCAAGAACACCAGUGGCGAAGGCGGCUCACUGGCCCGAUACUGACGCUGAGGCACGAAAGCGUGGGGAGCAAACAGG